RNAcentral lists this non-coding RNA (38 nucleotides) under Trichobilharzia regenti. Lineage: Eukaryota; Metazoa; Platyhelminthes; Trematoda; Strigeidida; Schistosomatidae. The record is from RNAcentral.
AUCCAGCUGACGAGUCCCAAAUAGGACGAAAUGUGCAU